RNAcentral lists this ribosomal RNA (535 nucleotides) under Pratylenchus sp. NK-2011b. Its description in RNAcentral is "SSU rRNA". It matches the Rfam family "Eukaryotic small subunit ribosomal RNA", at positions 1081 to 1643 of the family's 1831-position model. The record is from RNAcentral. Lineage: Eukaryota; Metazoa; Nematoda; Chromadorea; Rhabditida; Pratylenchidae.
GGGGAGCUUCCCGGAAACGAAGUCUUCCGGUUCCGGGGGAAGUAUGGUUGCAAAGCUGAAACUUAAAGGAAUUGACGGAAGGGCACCACCAGGAGUGGAGCCUGCGGCUUAAUUUGACUCAACACGGGGAAACUCACCCGGCCCGGACACCGUGAGGAUUGACAGAUUGAUAGCUUUUUCAUGAUUCGGUGGAUGGUGGUGCAUGGCCGUUCUUAGUUCGUGGAGCGAUUUGUCUGGUUUAUUCCGAUAACGAGCGAGACUCUGGCCUACUAACUAGUCUGGGCAUUGUCACUGUGCCUAGCACUUCUUAGAGGGAUUUUCGGUGUUCAGCCGCACGAAAUUGAGCAAUAACAGGUCUGUGAUGCCCUUAGAUGUCCGGGGCUGCACGCGCGCUACACUGGCAAAAUCAACGUGCCUGUCCUUUGCCGAAAGGCAUUGGUAAACCCGUGAAAAUUUGCCGUGAUUGGGAUCGGAAAUUGCAAUUAUUUUCCGUGAACGAGGAAUUCCCAGUAAGUGCGAGUCAUCACUCGCGUUG